Molecule: non-coding RNA, 2614 nt
Organism: Nicotiana tabacum (common tobacco)
Lineage: Eukaryota; Viridiplantae; Streptophyta; Magnoliopsida; Solanales; Solanaceae
Source: RefSeq, a predicted model, not a curated record
UUCUUCCCUAUAUAAGCCCUUUCUCCAGAUAUUUAUUAACGUCUCUCUCUCUCUAUCUGCUCUGCUCUGAUAUAAGCCCGUUCAGUUGCGCUUCUCUGACCGCUCUCUCCAUCUCUAUCAAACCUCUUUUACUGUUAGAUCUUAAGUUGGCAAUUAUAAUCAUUUGUAAUCACGAUCUUAGCAAUUAUGGAAAAGCCAUCGCUUCGUUUUUCAGGUAGAUGUUGAAAGUCGGCAUGGAUGUGAAUAUGAAGUUAGCAUCUCAUUGCUGAUGCUUUUGCAAUGCAUAUUGAUACAGCUUUUAGGAAAUUAGGACUUGGAAUCCUGAUUGGAACUUAUGCUAUAGUUCUAACGAGAUGCUCGAGUAUUUGUGUACUGUUUUAAGUAAGUGCCAUAGACAUGAGCAGUGGAUGUCAUGAUGGUGGCAUUAGCAUCUGAGGACAAAUCUCAGUAUAUGCUAAAUCAUGGCAGCACGGAGCAGUCAUAUUUGGGUUAAAAGGCACCUGAUUAAGGGGGACCAAGAGCUGCUUUUGUGAUCAAUCUUACCAGAAAAUACAGAACCACCAUUUCCAGAUCUCCUUGCUCUAACUGAACUAUUAUGGCACUCUGUCAGAUAAAAAUCCCCUGAACACAGGAAGAGUUUCUGUGCUAUGCUGAGAUCUAAUGCAGCUAUACAAGAGACUGGUACCUCACUUCAGUUUGGCAGUAGUAUCAGGGCCAUGUAACUUCUAAAAAUGUGAAGCUUCUCAUAGUCCAAAGAACACACACCUUCUGACUUCUGUUUCCCCUGCACCAAUUGCAAAGAAGGAUUAGAUGAUUAGUCUUGAAAUAGUGGAAAGAUGACAUGACUAAGCUAAGAUUCGUGACAGUCUUAUAGAGCUGGAUACUGUUGUUUGAACCAGAGACCUUCAACCAGUGCUAUCCCAGAAUGUCAUUAUGAUAAUGCAACGAGUGGCCAAGUUUGUAACAGCUCCAUGUUUGUUGUCAUCUUGGUAUAAAGUUUAGCAUCCUCAGUUUUACUAUCUUCUGUUCUAGAAGAUAAUUCUUUAGAGACUUCAACUUGCAACAUCAAUAGUGCCACAUUCAAAACUGAUUAGCUGGGAUAUGAUUAGAGGGUAAAUAUAAGAGUAUAAUUCCACUGUUAAGGAAAUGGAGUGACCCUAAUGGUCAUAAUCCAGGAUAACUGCUGCGAAAUAUUGUCGGAUGCCUUUUAGUUCCUAGAGGAAAAGUGCUAAGCGCCAGAAUGACUUAAAAGCUCUUAAAUUCUCGGACAGUCGUUUGAUCCUUCGAACUAUUAACUGUCAAGAACUUCCAUGUUUCUAAAAGCAGUUUGAGCUUCUUUAUCUUAGCAUUUGUGUGUAGUCAUCGCCAGGAUUUGCAGUAUGAAGACAGCAGAUGGGUCUAAAAGAAUAGACUUGUCAAUAUAAGAGUGUUGUUCCUCAUUUGCUACUUUUUGUCGGGCACAGGUCAUGAAAUGAUAUUCCCAUUGAUUCCAAAAUGCUAUUGAUAAAUGCAGUCACUGCAUAAGGUUCUUGAUUGGCGCAUCUAAAGUGUGUGUAUCUCUUCUGUGGGAGGAAAUUAAUUUGUCCAGAGUCCUUGUUCCAAUUGCUAGACCUGCAUUAGUUCAUCAAACUUCCUGCCCUGUGCUAGCAUGAAUAUCUACUCCCUCUCUGAGGUGCCCUACAAUGUAUACCUAAAUGACAAAGCCAAAGUCUUUCGCGCUAAAGAUGAAAUUAUCUUGUUUUCAAACAGUUUAGAGCUUUUUUACAGGGAAUGUCUUGACAACUCUUUUCACUUACCAGUUUAUAGAUGUCGCAAGCCUUUUUCAUAUGUGCUUUUUUGUUGUUGUUUCAGUUCCCAUACCGAAAUAAAGUGGAGUUGCAGAAGUAACCCUAUAAAAUAUGCUUCCUUGAUGAGCCAUUAAGCCAUUUGGGAUGCUUUCUUCUUAUUAUUAAAAAGUCUUCCUACUUGGCACCACCUCUGUAGCUAUGUUGUGCUUCCAGUAGUGGAAGAUAUGCAUGUUCCCGCUCUUCUAGAUCUUCUUCUGAUUGCCACAACACUAAUGGAAUUAUAUUUGCCCUUUCCAUUAAUGGAAUUCAUCAUAGGUUCCAUCUUUAGUUCAUUCCUCCAUUUCUCCAAAUAGCCGGGGUGGAAUGGAGAUGGUAGAACAGGUAUCAGCUAAUGAGGAUCUCCAUUCUCUCUGCCCAUUUGGUUGUGGAAUUGAUUGACGCAUCCUUUCAUGCAUGUGCAUGUUCUUCUCCUCAAUAUUAGAAUCAUAAUCCAACGAUCCAGGGAUCCAAGUUCAUGGAAUCAAUCCAGAUCACGGGUACAACUAAGAGAGGUUGAAUUGGAAUAUUGUGUAGCUGCUGGCAUCCAAGUUCUGUAGAAUUGGGAUCCAAGUUCAUGGUAUCAUUCCAUUUUUAUUAAUUUUGAAAGUAUAAAUUGUCCUUGAGAAUUCUCUUGUCAUGCUAGUGGUCUGCUGGCAGCAUUACUAUACUGCCUAUAGAUUCUAGACUUUCUGUGCUCCUGGGAGGGCUUCACACCGACGACCUAUUAUUUUGCUUAAGCUUGUUACUAACAAUUCAAGUAUCUUUUUACGUCUUGUUGAAGAACUUCU